GCCAUGGCCCGGAGAGGGUGCCAGGCCCGUAGGCACGGCGCGGACACCGCCUGGGGGCCCCGGAGAGUCGGGUUGCUUGAGAUUGCAGCCCAAAGUGGGUGGUAAACUCCACCUAAGGCUAAAUACGACCACGAGACCGAUAGCGAACAAGUACCGCGAGGGAAAGUUGAAAAGAACUUUGGAGAGAGAGUUCAAGAGGGCGUGAAACCGCUCGGGUGAAAAACGGGUGGAACCUCGAAGGGCGACGGGGGGAGUCAGACCUCCGGCUGGCGCUGCUGCGGUGCGCGUGGAUGGCUUUGGGUUCGGGUGGCUUCGCAAGGGGCUGCUCUCGCCUGGGUCUACCCCGCCUGCGGCUUGCGUCGGACGGGGAGCUCGCACUUCCUCCCGGGUAGGACGCCGCAGCCGGUUGGGCGGGCGGCCGAGGGCCUGGGCGCGAGUAGGCGCCUGCUUCGGCAGGUGCCCUCGUCCGGUGUCUUCCUGGCCGUCCUCCGACCGUGCCGAGGAGCUUGGAGGUUGCUUGCCGCUGCUGCCGCGGCGGGCUGCGCCGUCGUCUUUGCGGUUCCGUCGUGAGACGAGUUCUGCGGGCGGCGCGGUUGUCGGCUGGGCAUCGUGCGGUCGGGCGACCCCGGGGGCGGCGAGUACGAUCGGUGGUUCACCCGCCCCGUCUUGAAACACGGGCCAAGGAGUCUAACAUGUGCGCGAGUCGUCGGGUUUCCGAGCCGAAACCCGGAGGCGCAGUGAAAGCGAAGGCCGGUGCUUGUCACCGUGCCGAGGGGAGAUCCGGGCGGCGCGGGCCCAUCAUCCUGCCCGACAGCGGGAGGGCCUGCCUGCUCACCGGCGCAUCCUCGGGGCGUGCCGAGUCCCGUUGAGGACCGGGGCGCACCUAGAGCGCACACGUUGGGACCCGAAAGAUGGUGAUCUAUGCCUGGCCAGGACGAAGCCGGGGAAAACUCGGUGGAGGUCCGCAGCGGUUCUGACGUGCAAAUCGAUCGUCAGAGCUGGGUAUAGGGGCGAAAGACCAAACGAACCAUCUAGUAGCUGGUUCCCUCCGAAGUUUCCCUCAGGAUAGCUGGCGCUCGGAGGUUAAAGCUGUUGAGCGAGAGAGUCUCAUCCGGUAAAGCGACUGAUUGGAGGAACCCGGGUCGCUGGGACCUGGACCUACUCUCAAACUUUGAAUGGGUGAGAGGCCGGGCAUGCUUGAGUGAAUGAAGCCCGAGCUUGGAUCAGAGUGCCUAGUGGGCCACUUUUGGUAAGCAGAACUGGCGCUGUGGGAUGAACCAAACGCUGGGUUAAGGCGCCCGAAUCGCCGCUCAUGAGAUCCCAUGAAAGGCGUCGGCGGCUAAAGACAGCAGGACGGUGGCCAUGGAAGUCGGCAUCCGCCAAGGAGUGUGUAACGACUCACCUGCCGAAGCCACCGGCCCUGAAAAUGGAUGGCGCUAAAGCGGCGUGCCCAUACCCAGCCGUUGGGGCAGAGCUUGUCUUUGCGAGAGAACGUGAGUUUGAACGUGCCUUGUGUGGACCGCUCGGCCGUGGCGUGUGGCCCUGCUAGUAGCCCCCUUGGGGCGAACGCGGGGCGUGGCGCUGGGCCUUUGGGCGUGCCCGCCUUGGCGUGGGAUGACUCUAAGCGUCCGAUGGACACUUAGGUCCCCAACGAGUAGGAGGGCGCGGCGGUGGCGCUGAAGGUUCUGGGCGUGAGCCUGACUGGAGCCGCCGCCGGUGCAGAUCUUGGUGGUAGUAGCAAAGAAUCCGGCGAGAUCCCGGAGGACCGAUGUGGAGUAGGGUUUCGUGGCGCCGGCAAUCGGCCACGAGUGAGUCGAUCCUAAGCCCGGUGACAGUUCUGGUCAUCGGAGGGGCGAGAACUCUUGCAAGAGAGAGCUUGUUCGGCCCCUCCUGUACGGGCGAAAGGGAAGCCGGUGCAGAUUCCGGCACCCGGUCGCGGGCGCGUCCAAGGUAGGUCCUCUUCGGGGGGCCUACGGGGUGACCCAAAGAGACUCGGCGACACCGCCAUGGCCGCUGGGAAGAGUUGUCUUUUCUGCCUGAGCCUCGAACUCCCUGAAAGGCGGUUGCCGCGCGAAAGGGACGACGUGGCGAAGAGCGCCCCGCAUGGCCGUUGGCGCCGGGGCGUCCGGCGGGCUGUGGCGGUCCUUGA
Molecule: ribosomal RNA, 2149 nt
Filed under: Campodeidae sp. DP07
Lineage: Eukaryota; Metazoa; Arthropoda; Diplura; Rhabdura; Campodeidae
Description: eukaryotic LSU rRNA
Rfam family: Eukaryotic large subunit ribosomal RNA
Source: RNAcentral